This 433-nucleotide ribosomal RNA is filed under the name uncultured bacterium. Its description in RNAcentral is "partial 16S ribosomal RNA". It matches the Rfam family "Bacterial small subunit ribosomal RNA", at positions 29 to 507 of the family's 1533-position model. The record is from RNAcentral.
AACGAACGCUGGCGGCAUGCCUAACACAUGCAAGUCGAACGAGACCUUCGGGUCUAGUGGCGCACGGGUGCGUAACGCGUGGGAACCUGCCCUUAGGUUCGGAAUAACUCCCCGAAAGGGGUGCUAAUACCGGAUAAUGUCUUCGGACCAAAGAUUUAUCGCCUUUGGAUGGGCCCGCGUUGGAUUAGCUAGUUGGUAGGGUAAAAGCCUACCAAGGCGACGAUCCAUAGCUGGUCUGAGAGGAUGAUCAGCCACACUGGGACUGAGACACGGCCCAGACUCCUACGGGAGGCAGGAGUGGGGAAUAUUGGACAAUGGGCGAAAGCCUGAUCCAGCCAUGCCGCGGGAGUGAUGAAGGCCUUAGGGUUGUAAAGCCCUUUUACCCGGGAUGAUAAUGACAGUACCGGGAGAAUAAGCUCCGGCUAACUCCGUG